CAAUAGCGUAUAUUAAAGUUGUUGCGGUUAAAAAGCUCGUAGUUGGAUUUCUUCCAGGGGCAGCCGGUCCACACUACGUGUGCGUAUCUGGUUUGACUUUGGAAUCCUCUUGGGGAACGGCUCUGCGCUUAAUUGCGUGGACCGGUAUUCAAGACUUUUACUUUGAGGAAAUUAGAGUGUUCACGGCAGGCAAUCGCCCUGAAUACAUUAGCAUGGAAUAAUAAUAUAGGAUUUCGGUUCUAUUUUGUUGGUUUUCUUAGUAGCUGAAAUAAUGAUUAAUAGGACGACUGGGGGCGAUCGUAUUAUCACGUCAGAGGUGGAAUUCUUGGAUUGUGUUACGACGAACUACUGCGAAAGCAUUUGCCAAGGAUGUUUUUCAUUGAUCAAGAACGAAAGUAAGGGG
RNAcentral lists this ribosomal RNA (403 nucleotides) under uncultured eukaryote. RNAcentral describes it as "SSU rRNA". It matches the Rfam family "Eukaryotic small subunit ribosomal RNA", at positions 592 to 996 of the family's 1831-position model. The record is from RNAcentral.